Molecule: non-coding RNA, 752 nt
Organism: Salmo salar (Atlantic salmon)
Lineage: Eukaryota; Metazoa; Chordata; Actinopteri; Salmoniformes; Salmonidae
Source: RefSeq, a predicted model, not a curated record
CUAUGUUUGAAGUUGUUGAGUCAUUUUUGGCAAUACACUGGUGUUGUAUUCAUGGUUUUAGCUGUUGAAAUUCCGUCCCGGACUCACCUACUGGCUAUGAGCUAAGCCACCAAUGUCUUCACAUCCUAGGGGAGAGAGGAGCUGCUACCCCUGGGGAGAGAGGAGCUGCUACCGCUGGGGAGAGAGGAGCUGCUACCCCUGGGGAGAUAGGAGCUGCUACCCCUGGGGAGAGAGGAGCUGCUACCCCUGGGGAGAGAGAGGAGCUGCUACCCCUGGGGUGAGAAGAGCUGCAACCAGCAGAGACUGCGACCAUGCUCGGGAAGAGCUUAGUGAUUGGUGAUUGUUGGGGCAUGAUUGGCAGGAGCUUCAGUGAUGAAGACUGCUGCACUUGCUGAUGUUUCACAAUAUGCCGCGGCCGUCUCAGUCACCAGGUCUCAACACAAUAGAACACCACCAUCCCUCCAAUAGACUUCCAGACAGUUGUAGAAUGUUUGCCAAGGCUCAUUGUAAGAGCUGUAAAGAGAGAGGGACUCGGAGAGAGAACAGGUAGAACCUGAUAUGUAAAUGAGCAGAGCAAACGAAUGCAACUUUCGACGACCGAAUGAUCAUUCAGACUCUGUUUCUAUUGAGAGAUAAAAGGCUGGUUGAAUGAGUUGCCUGUGAAAGCUACUUCAUCUGCAAGAAAACAGGCGGCUGCACCAGUGACUGGGUCAGUGCUCUAAAAUGAGUCUCUCUGGGGAGAGAGAGGAGGG